This 1024-nucleotide long non-coding RNA is filed under the name Homo sapiens (human). Its description in RNAcentral is "testis expressed 41". The record is from RNAcentral. Lineage: Eukaryota; Metazoa; Chordata; Mammalia; Primates; Hominidae.
GGCCUCCAUCUUGAAAACGGAAAAUAAAAACAGCAGACCUAUGAAGGUCGAAGGGGAAGAAAAGCUGUAUCGAUUGUUGAGAUCUGGCGACUUGUUUAAAUUUCAUCAGCCUCACUUCUAUGAACUCUCAGGCCUCACGUGUACCAGCUCUCUGCUCUCCUUUGCCUUGGGACGUUCCAUCCCUGGAAGUUUCCCUGCCCACAUCUUUGUAGAGAGUCCAUUCUCCAAGCUUCAGUGUGUCAUCUGUGAGGACCGUGACCCACCUGGUACAUCGCCUCAGGGCAUUCAUUUCAGGCUCCUUCUAAAUGGCCAAGUUUUCAAGAUUGUUUUGGCUCUAGCAAAACAAGUUGGAACAUUCACAUCAUCCAAGCUGCAGCAAGCUGUUCGUCAGAGUCAUCUUUGGUGACUAUCUGCCUACAGGCAUUCCUUUGCACUCUGGGUGUAGCCCUCAGUGCUGGGCUUACAAAGAAGACGACACAAAAGCAACCAUGAAAAGAUCUUGGAAGCAGAGGGAUCUGCAGAAGUGCUUGCAACACUUUCAGCCUUAACCAGCAUCAGAGACAAAAAUCCUUUCUGGAAUGAGAUCUUGCUUUCUUUUGUAUGUUUGCAAAGAAUAUAUAGUACACUUCCUUGAUCUGUGGUUCCUAAAGUGUGAUUCCCAACAAGCAGCAUCAGGAUCAUCUGGAAACUUGAUAGAAAUGUAAAUUCUACAGUCCCUCCUUGGAGCUACAGAUUCAGAAAUUCUGAAGUUUAAGUCCAGCAGUUGGUUAUAAUAAGCUCUCUAGGUGAUUCUGACUUGCACCAAGGCACCCUUGGAAAUGCAAUGCUACAUCUCAAUGGGAUUUUCCAGUACAAAGAUUCUUUUCAAAUAACAUAAUUGUGGAUACACACCACUCCUACAGUGGUAAGUAUACUGAAGAUGUGCCAAAACAUUAGGGCAAAAAUUCAGUUCCCAUGGCAUACAAGCAGGAACCCAACCAUUUGCAGCAAUAAAUAAAAUUUUUGUAGACUACGAGAUUAUAAA